GGGGGAGUGCUGGAAUUGGCAGACAGGCGUGACUUAGAAUCACGUGCCCUUGGGCGUGUGGGUUCAAAUCCCACCUUCCCCA
This 82-nucleotide transfer RNA is filed under the name Anaerolineales bacterium. RNAcentral's name for it is "tRNA-Leu". It matches the Rfam family "tRNA". Rfam says of the family: Transfer RNA (tRNA) molecules are approximately 80 nucleotides in length. Their secondary structure includes four short double-helical elements and three loops (D, anti-codon, and T loops). Further hydrogen bonds mediate the characteristic L-shaped molecular structure. tRNAs have two regions of fundamental functional importance: the anti-codon, which is responsible for specific mRNA codon recognition, and the 3' end, to which the tRNAs corresponding amino acid is attached (by aminoacyl-tRNA synthetases). tRNAs cope with the degeneracy of the genetic code in two manners: having more than one tRNA (with a specific anti-codon) for a particular amino acid; and 'wobble' base-pairing, i.e. permitting non-standard base-pairing at the 3rd anti-codon position. Lineage: Bacteria; Bacillati; Chloroflexota; Anaerolineae; Anaerolineales. The record is from RNAcentral.